GUUACUAUGGUCCAUUCUUCUGGAGGAUGUUCUUCAGCUUCUCAUUCGCAGCCACGAGCUCAGCAGCUAUUCCUGGCUCGUUAGCAGAAUGGCCUGCGUCAGAAAUGAUCUUUAAUUCAGCCUCGGGCCACACUUUAUGAAGAUCCCAAGCGGACAUCAUUGGGCAGCAAACGUCAUAUCUUCCCUGUACAAUUACAGCAUUGAUAUGUCGUAUCUUGUCAAUAUUAUCUAGCAGAAAGGAAUCUGAAGGGAAAAACCCCUUAUUU
RNAcentral lists this unclassified non-coding RNA (266 nucleotides) under Hevea brasiliensis (rubber tree). The record is from RNAcentral. Lineage: Eukaryota; Viridiplantae; Streptophyta; Magnoliopsida; Malpighiales; Euphorbiaceae.